Molecule: ribosomal RNA, 492 nt
Filed under: uncultured bacterium
Lineage: Bacteria
Description: partial 16S ribosomal RNA
Rfam family: Bacterial small subunit ribosomal RNA
Source: RNAcentral
AGUGAACGCUGGCGGUAGGCCUAACACAUGCAAGUCGAACGGAUGCAGAGUAAGAGCUUCUGGUUACGGGGGGGGAGGGGCGGAUGGGGGAGGAAAAUAUCGGUGUCAAUUGUGUAUAGCGGGCGAACGCGGGGAAUCAUACGCCAUUCGCGCUGACGAAGUACGGGGGAAAGCUUCGGACCUCCGGCCCUCGCGUGAUCGUAUGACCGGAUGUCGGAUUAGCUAGUUGGUGGGGUAAAGGCGUACCAAGGCGACGAUCCGUAACUGGUCUGAGAGGAUGAUCAGUCACACUGGAACUGAGACACGGUCCAGACUCCUACGGGAGGCAGCAGUGGGGAAUAUUGGACAAUGGGCGAAAGCCUGAUCCAGCCAUGCCGCGUGUGUGAAGAAGGUCUUCGGAUUGUAAAGCACUUUAAGUUGGGAGGAAGGGCAGUAAGUUAAUACCUUGCUGUUUUGACGUUACCAACAGAAUAAGCACCGGCUAACUUCGUG